This 1115-nucleotide long non-coding RNA is filed under the name Equus caballus (horse). Its description in RNAcentral is "lncRNA (ENSECAG00000053285.1)". The record is from RNAcentral. Lineage: Eukaryota; Metazoa; Chordata; Mammalia; Perissodactyla; Equidae.
CAAUUGUGGGCAUUUGAACGUGUGGACUGGAUAAUAACAUUGCAUUCGUGUUAUAUUUCCUGAAUUAGGUCAUGGCCCCCGGGUUAUGCCAAUGGAAAUCCUUGCCUUCAGGAGGUACUAUGAAGUAUCCAAGGGUCAGGAGCCGUCAUGCUGGCAACUUACUCUCAGACAGUUGGGCAACAAAAAUAACAACGUGAUAAACGGAGAGAGAGGGAAGGGCUGCGGCGAAGGCAGGUUAACAGGGACCGCGCUCCAGCACAGAGCUUCAGCGAGCAUCGCCCGAAAGGGCAGACGGCAGGAGCCAAAGAGUCCCUUAGCAAGCCCAGGAGGUGACGCCGCAGGGCAAGGGGCCUCCUGCCUGGGGACACUGAGGUGAUUGGGGACGACCGGCUGGCCCUUAGGUGAAACACUCUCCUCCACAGGCUGUCGCAAUAGCGGUCCACAAGGAGAGGCCGUGGGAGAGAGCCUUUUCCUGGAUGACGCUUGGGUCUAUUAUGGGAACAGAACUACGAUGAUAAGAAAAACCGAGUGUCAUCCAGAAACCCCAAAUCAGCUGCUUCCAGACUUCCCCCAGGAGAUGUCCCCCAGUGGUCAGAUGGAGCUGUCCUCACCCUCCCUUCGGCAAAUGAAAUAUAAUUAGGAGAAAAACAGAGUGCUCAGAGAAUUCAUUGAUUUCAUCCGCCCGAUCUUCCACUUCUGAGAGCACUGAAGUUCCCUGAAUAACUCAGAGAAGAUUGUUGAAUUAUAGUGUUUGCUUGUGAUUCAGAAGCAAAAAUUUUUCCAAAUGUCUUAGCAAGAAAAUGACAUCUGAGGGGCCAUUAUGAGUGACUCAGCGGGUGUGGGAAGAUCAUCAGAUGAACUGAGUUCUACUUUCUUGUACUCUGCUUCGAUGUGUGUUCUCUGACUGUAAAAGAAAGUUCCGGGAGGAUGAAUAAGUAACUAAGUGUGCAGUUCCUGAUAAGCAACGUUCUGCAGCAGGAACAGAGAUAAGCAUAAUAUGGGGCAGCACCUAGAGCUGAAAUCAAACAAAAAUAUAUUCUUCUUCAAGCCCAGUGUUUGUCCAAGAAAUCUCUGUUGUAUGAGUCUCAGAAAUCCAUUCGUUUAUCCAACAAACA